GCGGGCGGGAGGAGAUGAUGGAGGCGGUGGGAGCACUUCCUUAUAGGUCCGGUGAGAGAGAAACCGCCGUGACGAGGUGGCCGAGUGGUUAAGGCGAUGGACUGCUAAUCCAUUGUGCUCUGCACGCGUGGGUUCGAAUCCCAUCCUCGUCGGGAAAAAAGGUAUUUUUUUUUCCCCCUCACACCAAAAAUUAAUUUUUUUCUAACAUUUCCAAGGGGACUUCUCCCUCUCCUCCUCUCCCUUCGGCCUUUACGGGGGGAGAAGGAAAAGCAGAAGGGCACCCGGGACAGACACGACCCAGCAUCCUGAGGGAUUUAGGAUCACAAGGCAGGAUUGAGUCCCACAGAUUCCAGGGGUCGCAGCCGGGAGGGAGUGUCAUGAGGGAUCUAGGGGUCACCCAGGAUAGCAUCCCAAGGCAUUUAGGGGUCACAGCCAGGACAGAGUGACCCGAGGGACUGAAGGGGCUCACCCAGCUUCCUGAGGUGCCUCGCCGUGGGGUGGCCUGACUUACCUCCUUCCCUCAGGGCAUGGCUCUGCCACGGAGCUUCCAGCUGUGACACUGGGAACAAACCCCUUUUAAUGUCAACCUCCUCUGGGAUCCCAACAAAACGUCCUGAUCAUGCCCAAUCCUGGCCAGAUCACAACGGUGCAGCCUCACAAAAGGUUCCCAGCCACAAUGGACGGGUUAAAACACAACAGGACAGGAGUUACUGUGAGGAAGGACACACACUUUGUAUGGAAAACUUUAUGCCAACAACCAGGAUCCAGUAUUUACCUCAGACCCAGUCUCAGAUAGGAAUUUAUCACAGGGCAUCUCCAAGAGCAACAUUUUCCCAGCUAACAAAACAUCAAACACUGUUUUGACAAAAUAAAUAAAAUAAAAUAAAAUGUAAGAUCCUUGUGAAAUAAAUCCUAAAUCUUCAUAGUUCAAAGAAUCUUGGGAACAGAAGCCCAGGGGUUUCUUGACCAGGAAUUUAAAAGUUGCCAACUGCAGGCAUUAUUCCAGGAAAAGAGGAAGAAGCAGUGCUGAGCUCCAGUUCCUCAUCAGGCCCUUUGGCCCCAGUGUCAGGAAAAUCCCUGACAGAGCCUUUUUUUUUGUAACAGAAAUUACUUACCAAAAAUCCUCCCAGCAUAACCUGGGACAUAUCAAAGUCCAAUUUAACUGUCAUCCCUAAAUCCAUUCCCACUCCCCUAUAUCCAAAUCCAGUAACAGCUCCAGCACCCUCUUUAAUACACUGAAGGUGCCCAAGUUCCAUUUAUUUCCAUGAAAGGUGUAUUCCAAUGCAGCAAAAAUUUGGAUAAUGCUGAUUUUUAGCAUUACCUCUCUAAAUAUCUGGAAUUAAAUUAGAAUUACCAAACCAUUGGCAGGAUGUGGAAGAGCAAAGCUCAAACCUGAGUGAAUUUUUAUGGAAAUAUUCAACAUCAGCUGGAUGACCCAGCAGAGAAAGACACCACGUGGCUCCUGUGGGCUACUGAAGCAAGCAAUGGUUUAUUGUGAUUUGGUGGUUAUGUCCUGACCCUGGUGACAUCAUCAAGUGAUUUUAGGAGGAAGGUACUAAUUCCUGAGGGCUGGCCAACCUGAGAUCUCCAAAAUUAAUGUAAAAACCCUCCCAGAUGCCAAGAAUCAAUGAUGUAAAAAUUAAUGAAAAUAAGAAC
Passer domesticus (house sparrow) is the source of this 1656-nucleotide long non-coding RNA. RefSeq lists it as uncharacterized. NCBI's taxonomy places the organism in Eukaryota, Metazoa, Chordata, Aves, Passeriformes, Passeridae. The transcript is spliced from 3 exons. The record is from RefSeq and is a predicted model, not a curated record.